UACGGAGGGGGCUAGCGUUGUUCGGAAUUACUGGGCGUAAAGCGCGCGUAGGCGGCUUUGUAAGUUAGAGGUGAAAGCCCGGAGCUCAACUCCGGAACUGCCUUUAAGACUGCAUCGCUAGAAUCAUGGAGAGGUGAGUGGAAUUCCGAGUGUAGAGGUGAAAUUCGUAGAUAUUCGGAAGAACACCAGUGGCGAAGGCGGCCAACUGGACGAACACUGACGC
RNAcentral lists this ribosomal RNA (223 nucleotides) under uncultured bacterium. Its description in RNAcentral is "partial 16S ribosomal RNA". It matches the Rfam family "Bacterial small subunit ribosomal RNA", at positions 524 to 746 of the family's 1533-position model. The record is from RNAcentral.